CCGGGCCUUGUGAACCUGCAAACCCAAGUCUGAGAGACGAUCCGCCUUCAGCGCUUUCCAGCUUGGCAGAGAGGCUUUCCCGGCGGGGAUCUUUGGUUGGCGCUGGCGAUGCGCGGGGAAGAAAGGCGAGGAGCGGCGUCCAGGCUGGGUGAUGUCCCAGCACGAGUAGGCGGGAUGCGCUCGCUUGGUCCUCCGGGCGCCCGGUCCCUGCCCGCGUCGCGCGCCCACCCCUGGGGACGAGAAGGCGGCCGCCUGAGGACCCCCGCCCGCGACCUCCGCGAGUCUGGAGCGCAGAGGACAGGGUCUGGCUGCUCUUUGGCCUUGGAUGGAAAGUGGGGAAUUGGGUGGGGGGCUGCGGACCCCUUAACGUGGAUUACUUGGUGUGUAUCAGCUGGGCUCAGAAGACCCACGACCUCUUCUCCAUCCGUGGAUUGAUUUGUUCUGCUUAACAGCUGGGUCGCCAAGCUGGAGGCAUUGGUGCAGCCGCUUUGGUUCUUCAGCAUGUGGGCUGUGGUGGUCUUCGGCGCCCAUCGGAAGCUGAUUUGAAGAUUUAGCAGCCUGUGUGGAAGCGGGGGUUCUGUUGCGCUUUACAAAGUGAAAGGAAGGUGUCUGAGGUGCUGGCCUUUGGGGACAAUUUCACUAUACCAGACUUCUUUAGGGGAUCCAGGACUAAGCCGAGGAAGGUGUUUCUGAACCUCAGGGAAUCUGUGGCCACUGGCAAGCCAGCGGAAAAUUCAGGUGUUUGGGUUUUUAAUUAAAUUUCUAAGUGGAAACCAGGAA
RNAcentral lists this long non-coding RNA (780 nucleotides) under Homo sapiens (human). RNAcentral's name for it is "long intergenic non-protein coding RNA 511". The record is from RNAcentral. Lineage: Eukaryota; Metazoa; Chordata; Mammalia; Primates; Hominidae.